UGGCCUUGCUGCCACGAUCCACCGAGAUUCAGCCCUUUGUCGCUAAGAUUCGACCCUCCCCCAAAUCACUCCAAAAAAAAAAGCAAUCCCCAAUUCUACACAAGUGUUUCUACACUAACAAAGCAACAAACUCCCUUAACGAAUUCCCAACUUUACACGAGCUCGUCUCUCGAGGUUAAAUGUUAUUACUUGGUAAGAUUCCGGACCUCGCCAAGUGUUUUGAAAACCCGCAACGCUCGCAAAGGUGCAUAGUGAGAAGAAUAAGUGAAGAGACAGACUUGUCCAAAACGCUCACGAAGGUGCAUAGUGAGAAGAGUAAGUCAAGAGACAGACUUGUCCAAAAAGAAACAAAAGAGAAUGCUUGGGGUUACACUCACGAAGGUGCAUAGUGAGAAGAGUAAGUCAAGAAGCAGACUUGUUCAAAAAAGAACCAGAAGAGAAUGCUUGGGGAGAUAGAAGUGUGAGAUAGUUCUCAAGCUAAGAAAGUUGUAAAAGCUAAGAACUAGCAUCAAAUGAUGGAUGAAACACAAGGUAGUUGUUGAAAAGUCAAACACUUGGUGAUAUGAACACAAACGUUCAAUAUGACAAACCCAUGCCAAGUAAAGAGAAAAUGAAAACUGGUGAUUGUUGCGGAAAUCGUCAGGAUUCCUCGACCAGGACUUGAAAUCGUCGAGGGAAAAUAAUCGGUUCCGAGGAAUCGUCGAUCCGGACUUGGAAUCGUCGAGAAAAGUUUACUCCGGUCCGAGGAAUCGUCGAU
RNAcentral lists this unclassified non-coding RNA (757 nucleotides) under Arabidopsis thaliana (thale cress). Its description in RNAcentral is "3' external transcribed spacer". Lineage: Eukaryota; Viridiplantae; Streptophyta; Magnoliopsida; Brassicales; Brassicaceae. The record is from RNAcentral.